GGUUAUGAAGCAGAUGAGGAGGAGGAAGAGUCGAGGCCACAGGAGUAAUGUUACGCUGAUCUACAUGGAGUUUAAUAGGAUUGCUGGUAAGAACUUGAAAAGGGAAUUUUACGAGACCCUUGACCAACAUAGUACAUGCCUCUUGGACAUUUUCAGAGCCAGAAAGGGAGUUGCUGGUCAGCUCUUGAUGAACCUUCUGAAGCAACAAAGCUAUCAGAGCCAACUGAACUUUGGUGCUUCAAGGACUACCCCUUUGGUUUGGAGAUGACUCUCCUGCUUUCUGUAAGACGUGUUUGAUGGCCGAUGAUCACAGCUCAAUUAUUGAUGUGCCAGUGGGGAUUGUGAUACUGUAGUUGAAGAUGGGAUGACUCUUAAGCCCCUCAACUCUUUGCAUUCGUCUCCAUCUUUGAUUGGAAUAGUAAUCGGGGGAAAAUUAGUGAUGGACAAUCUACAUGACCUUCCUGUAGCAAUGUG
Long non-coding RNA from Carassius carassius (crucian carp), 474 nucleotides. RefSeq lists it as uncharacterized. The record is from RefSeq and is a predicted model, not a curated record. The transcript is spliced from 4 exons. NCBI's taxonomy places the organism in Eukaryota, Metazoa, Chordata, Actinopteri, Cypriniformes, Cyprinidae.